RNAcentral lists this long non-coding RNA (302 nucleotides) under Medicago truncatula (barrel medic). Its description in RNAcentral is "lncRNA gene11091". Lineage: Eukaryota; Viridiplantae; Streptophyta; Magnoliopsida; Fabales; Fabaceae. The record is from RNAcentral.
AUGCUUCUACAAAGACAAUACAUCCCAUGUGGUUUUUGUUUUAAAAAUGUUACUAUAUUUUUUUUUUCUAAUUUGAAAUCCAAAAUAUUACCCUGAACGAGGCUGCUUGUGUAUUACACCGACUUUGCUGUGGGAUUUGUUUUUUAAUUGAGAAGAACUUUGGAUCCGGAACAGGGUUGGUCCAAUUAAAAGGUCACCAAUGUGACACUUAUGGUGUGGAAGAGGGUAAAGAGUGAUCGUUGGUACAUAAGACAGAGUGGCUCUCGACAUGUUUUUAGGAAAAGGGAUACAUGAAAUGAAUC